This 292-nucleotide long non-coding RNA is filed under the name Elaeis guineensis (African oil palm). RNAcentral describes it as "long non-coding RNA (EGUI_LNC053902)". Lineage: Eukaryota; Viridiplantae; Streptophyta; Magnoliopsida; Arecales; Arecaceae. The record is from RNAcentral.
GCCAGGUUUACAGAAGGCAUUGGAUACUAAAUUGAGUUUCAACACUAUAUUUCAUCGACAAACUAAUGGACAGUCAGAGAGGACUAUUCAAACUUUGAAAGAUAUGCUAUGGGCAUGUAGAGUUUUGGGGUGGACAUGCAUAGUGGAAGAAUAAUGGAUUUCAAAAUUUUAAAUUAAAAAAUUUUAAAUAUUAAACCCUUAAACUAGCACCUUCUUGAUGAUAAAUAAUCAUAUAUAAUAUACUCAUAAUAAAAUUUAAACUAUAGAAGAAGACCUGUAAUGCUUAUUCCAA